RNAcentral lists this transfer RNA (63 nucleotides) under Balta jinlinorum. RNAcentral's name for it is "tRNA-Gly". Lineage: Eukaryota; Metazoa; Arthropoda; Insecta; Blattodea; Pseudophyllodromiidae. The record is from RNAcentral.
ACUUAUUUAAUAUAUUAAGUAUAUUUGACUUCCAAUCAAAAAGUUUGUUAUACAAAAUAAGUA